Molecule: long non-coding RNA, 1125 nt
Filed under: Homo sapiens (human)
Lineage: Eukaryota; Metazoa; Chordata; Mammalia; Primates; Hominidae
Description: HSALNT0052518
Source: RNAcentral
UAUCAUGAUGCAGUUUUCUUCAAAAUCAUGGUUGCUCUUCAGAGCCUUCAAACAGCUGUUUUUGUUUUGGGUUUUUUUGUUUGGUUGGUUUUAUGCUGCAUUUAUAGAUGUCUAGGCACAAUGAUGGGCCUGCAUAAGCUACUCUACCAUUGCAAAAAUGCAAAAUCACAUUUCAUAAUGCAAUUUGCUGUUGGCAAAUUCGAUGUGAAUCUCAGGUCAUCAUUAUUGCCAAUCCUGUAAUUUUAAAUCUAUCCCCAUGAAAUUGAAUCUGAUUUGAUGUAAUCUAUCUCCACAAGAAUUUAUAGCUGGAAAGGACUUCAGAAUAUGUCCCUUUCUAAUCCCCCUCACUUUGCAAGUGACACAGCAAUUUAGCGACGAAGCUGAGAUUAGAACUCUGGCCCCCAGACACCCAGUCUAGUAUGUUUUCUUACACAAUGGUGCCUCAUGAAUAAUGCCAAAAGUGUAUCCUCAAAGUUUUGUACCUACAUCCUUGAAGAACUUCUUGGGCAGGCUUAAGCAUUUCUUAGUUGCAAUGGCUUGAUAAUAAAGUUACUCUUAAAGUUAUACAAGGAAUUUCUUCAACUAUACCAAAAAAUUUUAGUCAGACCGUUCUCUCAGCAAAAAAAGAAAAAGAAAAAAAAAAAACUGUCAUCCUUUCAUCUUUCAUCUUUUAUCCCUUAAAAAAAACAAUGUGUCCCAGAUAAACGAAUGACAACUCUUGCAGACACAAACAUACUAGACAGCCAGGGGUAGGGAUAAUGGUUCUAGAACUGGAAAAAUUUCCACAUCUAUUGGUGGAAACUUUGGGAAUGAAACCAGAGAAGCCUAUUAAUCUAAAAUGAGCUGCAGCACCUCAGCCCAGUUUCAGCCAAACAACUCCCCUGCUGGUGCUUGCUGCUGGCACUAACUGCAGUUAAAGAAAGUUCAUGUUUCUCAGGAGGCCCUAGUAUAGGAAAGGCAUCUUUAAUUUAAGAAAGCAGGAUAAAUCUCUCUCUCUCUCUUUCCCCCUAACAAGUGCUUUCACAGGCCUAGUGGUGGGAGUGGAAUUCCGUAGGUGGUGUCUAUGUAUUGCUUCAGUCCCUAGAGAGUCAGCAUAUUAAGUAACUGCUUGCCCUAAAAUCAACC